RNAcentral lists this microRNA precursor (96 nucleotides) under Marmota monax (woodchuck). Lineage: Eukaryota; Metazoa; Chordata; Mammalia; Rodentia; Sciuridae. The record is from RNAcentral.
UUGUUACAGUUUGGAUAUGUAGUGUCCCCUAAACUUUCACACUGUCUCACACAUGAAUGUUUAGGGGACACUACAUAUCCAAACUGUAACANAAAA